This 78-nucleotide non-coding RNA is filed under the name human gut metagenome. RNAcentral's name for it is "Cyclic di-GMP-I riboswitch". It matches the Rfam family "c-di-GMP-I riboswitch aptamer", at positions 12 to 82 of the family's 87-position model. From Rfam's summary of the family: GEMM was predicted in a large-scale screen for bacterial structured RNA regulatory elements. Genes associated with GEMM are involved in a diverse array of functions, including chemotaxis regulation, signal transduction, secretion and chitin. The record is from RNAcentral. RNAcentral also lists the same sequence under 1 other name.
AUAUCGGUAAACCGUCCGAAAGGGCGGGACACAAAGCCAGAUGGGUCUGUGGCGCGUUGCGCUAUGACAGCCGGUUGU